GACGAACGCUGGCGGCGUGCUUAACACAUGCAAGUCGAGCGGUAAGGCCCUUUCGGGGUACGACGAGCGGCGAACGGGUGAGUAACACGUGGGUGGACCUCGCCCUUACGCUCUGGGAGUAAGCCUGGGAAACGUAGGGUCGUAAUACCGGAUAUGACUCCAUGACGCAUGUUGUGGGGUGGGAAAGCCUUGUGCGGCUAGGGAUGGGCCCGCGGCCUAUCAGCUUGUUGGUGGGGUGAUGGCCUACCAAGGCGACGACGGGUAGCCGGCCUGAGAGGGCGACCGG
Molecule: ribosomal RNA, 286 nt
Filed under: uncultured bacterium
Lineage: Bacteria
Description: partial 16S ribosomal RNA
Rfam family: Bacterial small subunit ribosomal RNA
Source: RNAcentral